Non-coding RNA from Aegilops tauschii subsp. strangulata, 3030 nucleotides. Lineage: Eukaryota; Viridiplantae; Streptophyta; Magnoliopsida; Poales; Poaceae. The record is from RefSeq and is a predicted model, not a curated record.
GUUGUCGUUCUCCCGUAUCCCUAACCUCACGAAGCCCACCAUCCCACUCAUCCCCUGCCAUGGAUGGCGCCGCCGCCCUGCUCCCGACUGUUGUUGUCGCUCCGCUUCCCAUCUGCCGCCGCUGUCCACUACUAUCCACUACAUCCAGCCUCUGUCGCAUCCCACCGCCUCCACCACCACCAUGAACCAUCUCUCUUCUUGGUCCUCUCUCUUGGACCUUCACAUGGCAGCGGAUGCUUCUGGUGGCGUGUGGCGACGCGACCGGUGGAGGGAACGGGGUUGAGCCCGACUGUGUCCCAUUCAUCAAUCUGUGCCCACCUCAUGUUCCUCCUCUCCAUCGAAUGUCACAUCACCAGUUACUGCGACACACGACGCUCUCCUCUCUUGAGACGAUGCUUAUAGGCGAAAAUAAUGGCGUCCUGUUGUGCCCCUCCACACUUGGGACCACCGAGGCACGAAAGUACCCAGGGAAGAUCGGCCAUGUUCUAAGUGGCUACCCAGCAAGGUAAUUUUCUGCUCUGAAGUUCUCUCAUGGAAUGUGGGUGGAAUCGAUUGGCGGAUGUGCUAGGUGGAGUGCCAGUGGAUGGCCAUGUUAGUGGGCAGAACUCCUCUCCUACACACACAAACUUGGGUUUGGCAAGGAACUGGGUCAAUACUACUAUCCUUUGGCUUUGCAAUGGUGAUUUAGGUAGUUUUGUUUUUUCGAAUCAUGGUGGUUUAGUUAAUUUGUUAACAGACGCUUCAGUUAGGACUAAUAGUCAAGAGAGGUCAACUGGAUUGAACUUAACAGAGGACAAUGCAAUUUUGUUAUAAUUGGUGCUUUAGUUAGUUUUAAUGAAAUGGUUCAUUGGCUCAACUUCUAUUUAGCUUACUAUAGUAUAGUCGUGUGGAUUGUCGGUGAUGAAUAAUACCCAAUGCAUUGUUUCCUAUUGCCCAGUGUUCUACAGUUAAAUAUGCAGAACUUGAGCUUUGUUUGCCAAGAAAAUGUCUGUUAGUUCCCACAAGGAGUAAUUCAUUCCCCGUCCAAGUAUUUAUAUACAAUCAUUGAUACUUUAUUUGUUUAUGCUGCAGAGACGUGGUCACAUGGAUGAUUAUCAUCUUUUGGCAAAAGCAUGUUAAUUGACUGAAGAAAUAGUACUGCACCUAUGACUAUGAUCGUAGAUGUCCAGUCUUGAUUUUUGAGGACCAGUUUAGGAUGUGAUCAUUUGUGCGGAUUCAAAGCUGCUUGACAUGAUUUUUACUAAUCUGAACGUCGGGCAUAAUCAAUGUUAAGUAGGCUUCAUUGAAUUCUUAAUAAGGAAAUUACACAAUAUGAUGUGUCUGCCAUGGUAUUAGUGUUGUUUGAAGAAUUUCUUCUUCUUACCAAUUAGGCAGAUGCUUUAACUAUCGAUGCAGACCCUGUGCUGGAUGUUCAUCAGCAACGCCAGUCAGGGGUUCGGGCUCCUGUGGAGCUCAUGGGAUCAGUCAUAUGAACCUCAUGUAUUUGAUAGUUUUCUCCAUCACUUUUAUGCGUUCAACUAUAGAUAAUUAAGGCUACCCCACAAGUUCAUUGAGAUUUGUUUUUAUAGGACUUGGAUUAAUAAUCUCCAACAAUAUUGUUAUUGCCUCUUAUAUAUACUUUUAGUUCUAAUUACAUUUCAGAUUUUCUUUAUGCUGUACUACUAAACUGUGUGUUCUAAACCAAAGAUGACAUCUGCGUCUUUUUAUGCAUGCAUGUUUUAAGACAAUAUAUCUAAUAUGUAGUAUAUAGAAAGGUACCUAAAAUAUUAGCUUAUAUUGCCAACUCUUGAAAAUAUACGAUCCUUUUACAUUUUUUGCCGUGAACCUGGGGAGCUUGGCACGAAGUAUGGUGUCAAUAAUCAGUAUAUACCAGGACAAUAUUUCAACAAUGACGUUGCUUGGCUCAAUACUUCCUUCACCACCAAUCUAGCUGCAAACUCUGUUUCUCCUUGAAUGUAGGUCCAUAAAGGUUGUGCUUUCUGUGCAUCUAAAAGUAAGGUUACUAUCAUAAUUACAGUAAAGCUUCUUCUCUAUUCAAAAUGAAUUUGAUAAGCAACAAAGUCCUCUGUGUCAUGCUUCAGUUAUAUGGCUCGAGCUGGCCAAACCUGAAAUGUUCGGUGAAGAUUCAAAGUACAUCUAGAUUACUUUGUGUUUCCCACAAUCCUAUUACUUGAUUUUUUUGCUAACUAUCUCUAUGGAUAAAUCUGCAAGAUGAUGCAAAAAAGUUGCAUGCAGAUAGGCUGUGUACAGACAUGCAUGGUGUAAGUUUAUACCUUUUACAAUAUUGAGAUUUGUUCAGAUGCUUCUAAGCAGUGCUCUAGCAGAAUGGUGCUACAUUUCCUUACUGUUGUUGCCAAAUAUUUGUUUUGUGGCAUAUCAAGACUGGACGGCAUCAUUCUAAUGACCUCACCCUAGGAGUUCACUUCUACACGGUCAUGGCAUCCGCCUCCACCAAUUAUCUAGAGCAGUUAAGUUCUAGAGACGAUCGGGGAGGUCAACUUUGAGCUGCAGCACCCUAUGUGUUCACGCAAUCGGAACGCCCGAAAUAUCACGCCAAUAUGAGGGACGCCCGAAAUAUGAAGCCCAUAUGUGAUUUAUGCCUUUUCUGUUAGGAUUAUCUCCCUUCUCCACAGCUAAUUGCUUGAUGUGUUCAAUGGUCCAGUUGAAUUGGAUACAAGCAUGCUACAAAUCUAACAGUAAUUUAAUAAGUUCAUUCUUCGCAAACAAGAAACUCUACAUGCUGUGGAGAACCACUUCUACAACAGAUUAGGUUACUUGGUGGGAAGAAAUUGGCAUGGGCCAAAACUCAGUCUGUCUCACGUGAGUUUACACUAUUACAAAAAAUUACUACAGAUGUAGAACAAGCCUGCGGGAAUUUUGCGUCUUGACUAUCUGUCAUAUUUUAUAACUGUCAUACUUUGUAGUGCUUAUAACGGGGGAUAGAUUCUGAGAUGUACUACUACUGAUGUGACCAAGGAUGCCCAGUUUCUUUACAUGAUAUUGAGUACUGCAACUUCAAGGCUUCUUCAA